AGAUAUAAAUAAUGGAAAUGCGAAUUGUUCUGAACAAAGCAAAGAAACAGUAUUUCAAAAUUAUAGCGAAGACUCAAUUCUUCUAGAUAAUAAAAAAAAAAGAAAAGUUUCAGAGGGCCAAUUUCUUAGUCAAAGUUCUGGAAGGCUAGAAA
RNAcentral lists this ribosomal RNA (152 nucleotides) under Cryptosporidium parvum Iowa II. RNAcentral's name for it is "5.8S ribosomal RNA". The record is from RNAcentral. Lineage: Eukaryota; Apicomplexa; Conoidasida; Eucoccidiorida; Cryptosporidiidae.